UGCCGAUCCUUUUAUAUGACAGAAACGCCACCUGCAGUUCUGAGGGGAUUUAAAAGAGAAGCAGGGAGAUCCGUGCCAGUGAUCUGUUUCUCGAGAGAGAUUCCAGUUCCUCUAGAGAGCUCAUCAUGGCCUGGGCUCUAUCCUUCCUUGCACUUCUCAGCUACUUUUCAGGUAAGAAUGUAGAGGACUCCCUUUCCACCGGCCUCUAGCCCAUUGCAGAACUAUUUAUAUUGUGUUUUUAUCAUGGUGCCAGCCUGAUAUUUGGAGCAGAAGGAAUGAAUCGAGGUCAUUUUAUUCUUUUUUCUUUUCCACAAAGGUGUCGUUUCACAGCAUACUCUGACUCAGCCUGCCUCUGAAACUGUGUCCCUGGGGCAAACGGCUAAACUCUCCUGUACGUCCAGUGAUGGUCGCAGCAGCAGCUAUGUUGCCUUUUUUCAGCAGAGACCUGGACAGGCCCCUCGCUAUGUGCAGUACGUCGGCAGCAACAGGGGGGAAGGCAUCCCGGAUCGAUUCACUGCUUCCUUCUCUGGAAACACUGGCUUUUUAACCAUCACUGACAUCCAGCCUGAAGAUGAGGCUGUCUAUUACUGUGGGGCUUGGUUUAACAGCUAUAGCUUGUUG
Non-coding RNA from Podarcis lilfordi (Lilford's wall lizard), 621 nucleotides. The record is from the annotation of a GenBank genome assembly. Lineage: Eukaryota; Metazoa; Chordata; Lepidosauria; Squamata; Lacertidae.